Long non-coding RNA from Nerophis lumbriciformis (worm pipefish), 629 nucleotides. RefSeq lists it as uncharacterized. Lineage: Eukaryota; Metazoa; Chordata; Actinopteri; Syngnathiformes; Syngnathidae. The record is from RefSeq and is a predicted model, not a curated record.
GUGGGAGGCGAAGGCCUUCCCGCAGUGCUUGCACUUGAAUGGCCGCUCUCCGGAAUGCUGUCGGAUAUGCGUGCGCAAAAUACUGGAGGCCGUGAAGGCCUGAAAGGAGAACAAUGACAACAUGCUUGAAAUAUUGUGUGAGGUCUGUGUUUCUCGUGGACGUGCAAGAUGUGAAUCCUCAGCCUGUCUCGCUUCUCGAAGGACCUGCUGCAGAGUAUUUGUAGGCAAACACUUUCCCACACCUGUCACACUUGAAGCCUUCGCCAGAAUCUUUUGAAACGACACAAAUCCACUUUUAAUGAGGAGAAGGACGCACAAAAGGGAGAUGGUCUCACCUUCAGUGGAAGGAAGCAAGCUGUGGUCUUGUCCACAGUCCCUGAGUGUGAGCGGGAUGCCCAGAAACUGCAGGCUUCAUAGAAGAUCUGACCCUGGAUCUGCACUGCAAUGAGGUUCUGCUCCUCUGGGAACCUGGCACACUUCACUAAGGACAUCCAGUUGCCCGUCCCCCCUCUUCCGUCCACAAAAUGACUCAAGCGUCCAUUCUCAAACACCUGCAGGACAACAUGAGCAUAUAUAAAAAACAGCCUUCAAUCACUUCAAGGUGAACUUUGGUGUCCUCUCCACACCUC